UGAGGAAUAUUGCGCAAUGGGCGAAAGCCUGACGCAGCGAUGCCGCGUGAAGGAAGAAGUCUCUUGGGAUGUAAACUUCUGUCAAGAGGAACGAUUAUGACGGUACCUCUAAAGGAAGCUCCGGCUAACUACGUGCCAGCAGCCGCGGUAAUACGUAGGGAGCGAGCGUUAUCCGGAUUUAUUGGGCAUAAAGCGCAAGUAGGUGGUUUUUUAAGUCGGGUGUUAAAGCCUACAGCUCAACUGUAGAUUGCCCUCGAAACUGAAAGACUAGAGGUUAGUAGAGGAAAGCGGAACUCACAGUGUAGCGGUGAAAUGCGUAGAUAUUGUGAGGAACACCAGUUGCGAAGGCGGCUUUCUGGACUGAUCCUGACACUGAGGUGCGAAAGCGUGGGGAGCGAACGGG
RNAcentral lists this ribosomal RNA (403 nucleotides) under uncultured bacterium. RNAcentral describes it as "bacterial SSU rRNA". It matches the Rfam family "Bacterial small subunit ribosomal RNA", at positions 355 to 776 of the family's 1533-position model. The record is from RNAcentral.